UGGCUGGUGCCUCUCACUAACCGCUCCUAUGUUAGUUUCUCUGGCUCAUCCGCAGGGAGGGGCAUCAGAGCACUGAGGACUCUCACUCUUCCUGCUCCAGAGGAAGAGGGCUAUAAACGCUUGAAAAAACACAGUUGGGAGAAUAAUUGGAAGUGAAUUCGAUGUCUUCAUCCUCUGAGGAUGCGAGUGCAUGUGCCUGCUGGAAAUUACUCUUUCACGAAAUGUGUAUGUCUCUGGAUUUGAGCUUCCCUGGGCUGUGGAGCUGACCCUAACCUCUUUUGAAGUCUGUGAUCACCCUGGAUCUGAUCAGAUGCGCCAGAGUGAAUUGGGUAAGAAAGAAGACAAGAGGCCAUUAACUGCUCAGUUUCAGACCAUUUUCAGCGAGUCACAAGGAUUGCCAAAGGAGUUCCAACUCUCCAUUCAUAGGUAUAUAGGUGCUAAUAUUUUUAGAUGUCUACUUAGUAUUCUAGUAACACCACGAGUACCAAUGUCCUGAGGGGAAAACCUUUUUCUACUGAUUAAAAAAAUAAAUGUAUCCACGAAUGAUAUAA
Molecule: long non-coding RNA, 551 nt
Organism: Mus musculus (house mouse)
Lineage: Eukaryota; Metazoa; Chordata; Mammalia; Rodentia; Muridae
Product: predicted gene, 34011
Exons: 3
Source: RefSeq, a predicted model, not a curated record